AGCGAACAGACGAGGAGCUUGCUCCUCUGACGUUAGCGGCGGACGGGUGAGUAACACGUGGAUAACCUACCUAUAAGACUGGGAUAACUUCGGGAAACCGGAGCUAAUACCGGAUAAUAUAUUGAACCGCAUGGUUCAAUAGUGAAAGACGGUUUUGCUGUCACUUAUAGAUGGAUCCGCGCCGCAUUAGCUAGUUGGUAAGGUAACGGCUUACCAAGGCAACGAUGCGUAGCCGACCUGAGAGGGUGAUCGGCCACACUGGAACUGAGACACGGUCCAGACUCCUACGGGAGGCAGCAGUAGGGAAUCUUCCGCAAUGGGCGAAAGCCUGACGGAGCAACGCCGCGUGAGUGAUGAAGGUCUUCGGAUCGUAAAACUCUGUUAUUAGGGAAGAACAAAUGUGUAAGUAACUAUGCACGUCUUGACGGUACCUAAUCAGAAAGCCACGGCUAACUACGUGCCAGCAGCCGCGGUAAUACGUAGGUGGCAAGCGUUAUCCGGAAUUAUUGGGCGUAAAGCGCGCGUAGGCGGUUUUUUAAGUCUGAUGUGAAAGCCCACGGCUCAACCGUGGAGGGUCAUUGGAAAC
RNAcentral lists this ribosomal RNA (586 nucleotides) under uncultured Staphylococcus sp. Its description in RNAcentral is "bacterial SSU rRNA". It matches the Rfam family "Bacterial small subunit ribosomal RNA", at positions 65 to 633 of the family's 1533-position model. Lineage: Bacteria; Bacillati; Bacillota; Bacilli; Caryophanales; Staphylococcaceae. The record is from RNAcentral.